AGAUUGAACGCUGGCGGCAGGCCUAACACAUGCAAGCCGAGCGGUAGAGAGGUGCUUGCACCUCUUGAGAGCGGCGGACGGGUGAGUAAUGCCUAGGAAUCUGCCUAGUGGUGGGGGAUAACGUUCGGAAACGGACGCUAAUACCGCAUACGUCCUACGGGAGAAAGCGGGGGACCUUCGGGCCUCGCGCCAUUAGAUGAGCCUAGGUCGGAUUAGCUAGUUGGUGAGGUAAUGGCUCACCAAGGCGACGAUCCGUAACUGGUCUGAGAGGAUGAUCAGUCACACUGGAACUGAGACGACGGUCCAGACCUCCGUACGGGAGGCAGCGAGGUGGGGAAUAGUUGGAACAAGUGGGACGAAAGCCUGACUCCAGCCAUCGCCGCGUGUGUAGAAGAGGUCGUUAGGAUUAGUAAAGCUAAGUUUAGGU
RNAcentral lists this ribosomal RNA (427 nucleotides) under uncultured soil bacterium. Its description in RNAcentral is "bacterial SSU rRNA". It matches the Rfam family "Bacterial small subunit ribosomal RNA", at positions 26 to 444 of the family's 1533-position model. The record is from RNAcentral.